AUUGAACGCUGGCGGCGUGCUUAACACAUGCAAGUCGAUCGGUAACAGGUGUAGCAAUACAUGCUGACGAGAGGCGCACGGGUGAGGAAUAUUUGGGAAUCUGCCCAUCAGCGGGGGACAACCCGGGGAAACCCGGGCUAAUACCGCAUACGCUCUACGGAGGAAAGCCGGGGACCGCAAGGCCUGGCACUGAUGGAUGGGCCCAAAUCGGAUUAGCUAGUUGGCGGGGUAACGGCCCACCAAGGCGACGAUCCGUAGCUGGUCUGAGAGGACGAUCAGCCACACCGGAACUGAGACACGGUCCGGACUCCUACGGGAGGCAGCAGUGGGGAAUAUUGGACAAUGGGGGAAACCCUGAUCCAGCGACGCCGCGUGGGUGAAGAAGGCCUGCGGGUUGUAAAGCCCUUUCGGUAGGGACGAAAGCUCUUGCUCUAAUGAUGCAAGAGGUUGACUUAACCUACAUAAGAAGCACCGGCUAACUCUGUGCCAGCCGCCGCCGUAA
This 502-nucleotide ribosomal RNA is filed under the name uncultured bacterium. RNAcentral describes it as "partial 16S ribosomal RNA". It matches the Rfam family "Bacterial small subunit ribosomal RNA", at positions 29 to 523 of the family's 1533-position model. The record is from RNAcentral.